CGCCAGACUCCUACGGGAGGCAGCAGUGGGGGAUAUUGGACAAUGGGGGGAACCCUGAUCCAGCGACGCCGCGUGAGUGAAGAAGUAUUUCGGUAUGUAAAGCUCUGUCAGCAGGGAAGAAAGAAAUGACGGUACCUGACCAAGAAGCCCCGGUUAACUACGUGCCAGCAGCCGCGGUAAUACGGAGGAUGCGAGCGUUAUCCGGAUUUAUUGGGUUUAAAGGGUGCGUAGGCGGACGCUUAAGUCAGCGGUAAAAUGGCGGGGCUCAACCUCGUCGAGCCGUUGAAACUGGGUGCCUUGAGUGGGCGAGAAGUACGCGGAAUGCGUGGUGUAGCGGUGAAAUGCAUAGAUAUCACGCAGAACUCCGAUUGCGAAGGCAGCAUACCGGCGCCCAACUGACGCUGAAGUACGAAAGCGUGGGUAUCGAACAGGAUUAGAUACCCUCGUAU
Molecule: ribosomal RNA, 449 nt
Filed under: uncultured bacterium
Lineage: Bacteria
Description: bacterial SSU rRNA
Rfam family: Bacterial small subunit ribosomal RNA
Source: RNAcentral